AUCGUGGGUUUCAAAAUCCACGGUGAGGGAUGUAUCAAAACGUAAUUGUAUUUUCGCCCAAAACGUUUUGUGCGACAAGAGGCUCCUCCCCCACCUCUGACGUCAGGCCAAUGGCAAAGCAUAGAACUCAAAACGUAUUGCAUUCCCCUUGCAUGUUCUGUACGUAUGUGUUUCUAUAUAGAGACACGGCAUUUUCUGGUCGGCGGUAGUCUCCUAGCAAACAGUAAGGAACUAGAGAGAGAGAGAGGCAAUCGCAGUAAUUUGGAAAUAACUACUGUGGUCUCUUUAGGAGGAAAAUUUUCCCAUUCUGACAACACGGAAAAGAUCCAGUGCGCUUGUACUGCCUCCUUUCCUCUGGAUUUAUACAUUUGUGGUGCUGUAGGACCUACUGAGUGAAUCAUACGCCCCACCCCACAGCCGUCACACGCUGUAACGAGGGUUGUUCCCUUGUUACGCUCCCACAACCGUCACACGCUGUAACGAGGGUUGUUCCCUUGUUACGCU
Penaeus monodon (black tiger shrimp) is the source of this 504-nucleotide long non-coding RNA. RefSeq lists it as uncharacterized. The record is from RefSeq and is a predicted model, not a curated record. The transcript has 2 exons. Lineage: Eukaryota; Metazoa; Arthropoda; Malacostraca; Decapoda; Penaeidae.